UGGUUAUUGUCAAAUCGGCUGGAGAAAUUGAUAGAUAUUGGGAUUGCUAUAUAGAAGGCACUUUCAAGUCGUCUUGAUGUCACAAGCUGCUUGUAACUCCCCUGAACGUUGGUUCAACCUUCGUUGGUGAUCCCCUAGUGAUGUCUCUGCCUGCUCAGCUAGCAAUCUGCAACCCAACACAGGAUCAAGAGCAAAAGGCAGUCAUCGCCUAACCUCAUCUGAGUGGAGGUGGCCUUGUGUUGGGAAGACUCC
This 252-nucleotide long non-coding RNA is filed under the name Acanthaster planci (crown-of-thorns starfish). Its description in RNAcentral is "uncharacterized LOC110983769, transcript variant X1". The record is from RNAcentral. Lineage: Eukaryota; Metazoa; Echinodermata; Asteroidea; Valvatida; Acanthasteridae.